UACGAAGGGGGCUAGCGUUGUUCGGAUUUACUGGGCGUAAAGCGCACGUAGGCGGAUUGUUAAGUCAGGGGUGAAAUCCCGGAGCUCAACUCCGGAACUGCCUUUGAUACUGGCAAUCUUGAGGCUGGAAGAGGUUAGUGGAAUUCCCAGUGUAGAGGUGAAAUUCGUAGAUAUUGGGAAGAACACCAGUGGCGAAGGCGGCUAACUGGUCCAGAUCUGACGCUGAGGUGCGGAAGCGUGGGGAGCAAACAGG
Molecule: ribosomal RNA, 253 nt
Filed under: uncultured bacterium
Lineage: Bacteria
Description: partial 16S ribosomal RNA
Rfam family: Bacterial small subunit ribosomal RNA
Source: RNAcentral